Molecule: transfer RNA, 85 nt
Filed under: Felis catus (domestic cat)
Lineage: Eukaryota; Metazoa; Chordata; Mammalia; Carnivora; Felidae
Rfam family: tRNA
About the family: Transfer RNA (tRNA) molecules are approximately 80 nucleotides in length. Their secondary structure includes four short double-helical elements and three loops (D, anti-codon, and T loops).
Source: Rfam by way of RNAcentral
GCCUGGGUGGCUCAUUUGGUUAAGCAUCUGACUUCAGUUCAGGUCAUGAUGUCACAGUUUGUGGGUUCGAGCCCCGCAUCGGGCU